GUGGAUUAGAUACCCGGGUAGUCCACGCCGUAAACGAUGGAUACUAGCUGUUCGGAGCAAUCUGAGUGGCUAAGCGAAAGUGAUAAGUAUCCCACCUGGGGAGUACGUUCGCAAGAAUGAAACUCAAAGGAAUUGACGGGGGCCCGCACAAGCGGUGGAGCAUGUGGUUUAAUUCGAUGAUACGCGAGGAACCUUACCAAGGCUUAAAUGUAGAUUGACCGGUUUGGAAACAGAUCUUUCGCAAGACAAUUUACAAGGUGCUGCACGGCCGUCGACAGCU
Molecule: ribosomal RNA, 280 nt
Filed under: uncultured bacterium
Lineage: Bacteria
Description: partial 16S ribosomal RNA
Rfam family: Bacterial small subunit ribosomal RNA
Source: RNAcentral